RNAcentral lists this ribosomal RNA (440 nucleotides) under uncultured bacterium. RNAcentral's name for it is "partial 16S ribosomal RNA". It matches the Rfam family "Bacterial small subunit ribosomal RNA", at positions 338 to 795 of the family's 1533-position model. The record is from RNAcentral.
CCUACGGGAGGCAGCAGUAGGGAAUAUUGCUCAAUGGGGGAAACCCUGAAGCAGCAACGCCGCGUGGAGGAUGAAGGUUUUCGGAGUGUAAACCCCUUUUGUUAGAGAAGAUAAUGACGGUAUCUAACGAAUAAGCACCGGCUAACUCCGUGCCAGCAGCCGCGGCAAUACGGAGGGUGCAAGCGUUACUCGGAAUCACUGGGCGUAAAGAGCGCGUAGGCGGGAUAGCAAGUCAGAUGUGAAAUCCUAUGGCUUAACCAUAGAACUGCAUUUGAAACUGUUAGUCUAGAGUGUGGGAGAGGUAGGUGGAAUUCUUGGUGUAGGGGUAAAAUCCGUAGAGAUCAAGAGGAAUACUCAUUGCGAAGGCGACCUGCUAGAACAUAACUGACGCUGAUGCGCGAAAGCGUGGGGAGCAAACAGGAUUAGAUACCCGGGUAGUC